AUGACGCCAGUGAAACGCUUCGUGACUGCUCGUACGAUGGUCGCCCCCCCCCCGAGCGCCGCCACCUGUGCCGAGAGCGCCGCCGCCUACGCCGAGAGUGCCACGGCAUCUGCAUUGCGCGCAGCCGCUUCCGCCAAGAGGGCGUCCGCGGUAGCCGGCCGGGUAGCUGCAGCAGCCGAGACGGCUGCAGCUGCUGCUGCGACGACGACUGCAAACACCAAGAGCACUCAAGCUGCCGUCUGUGCCGCCGAUGUCGCCCUGGCCCGGGUCGAGUCCAUCCACGCCAAGAUCGAGGAUGCACACGCCAAGAUAUUCCAGGCCACCUCGGAAUCCAGCAUGCAACCCAUGUCCGAAAAGGCGGCGGUGGCCAUGGAGCACCUGCUUCCUCAUGAGGUCACCAAGCGGGAGCUGGAGAUGCAGGAGGCGACGGAGAUCGAGGAGCGCCGGGAGGAGGAGUUGUGCGUGGCCGAGGUCGAGGUAGAGAAGAGUCUGUCCAUCGAGGAAUCGACGGUGGAGUACCAACGCGAGCUCUGGCGCAACCACUACUACGAGUACUACAACCUUGAGGGCGGCGCCGAGGACGAGGACAAGGACAAGGACGAGGAUGCGGUUGACUUCAGUAGGGGGGACGUGGAGUCCGCCAAUGGCGGCAUGUCACCAGGACAAGUCAUUGAUGUCUCAUCUCACACCGUCGCUGCAUAG
Molecule: ribosomal RNA, 702 nt
Filed under: Triticum aestivum (bread wheat)
Lineage: Eukaryota; Viridiplantae; Streptophyta; Magnoliopsida; Poales; Poaceae
Description: partial small subunit ribosomal RNA
Source: RNAcentral